RNAcentral lists this ribosomal RNA (406 nucleotides) under uncultured bacterium. RNAcentral describes it as "partial 16S ribosomal RNA". It matches the Rfam family "Bacterial small subunit ribosomal RNA", at positions 30 to 526 of the family's 1533-position model. The record is from RNAcentral.
AUUGAACGCUGGCGGCAGGCUUAACACAUGCAAGUCGAGCGAGCGGCGGACGGGUGAGUAAAGUAUGGGGCUCUGCCCGAUAGAGGGGGUUAACUACUGGAAACGGUGGCUAAUACAGCAUACUCUCGGCUGACCACAUAGGGGAGUAGCUAGUAGGUGGGGUAAAGGCUCACCUAGGCGACGAUCUCUAGCUGGUCUGAGAGGAUGAUCAGACACACUGGGACUGAGACACGUCCCAGACUCCUACGAGAGGCAGCAGUGGGGAAUAUUGCAGAAUGGGCGAAAGCCUGAUGCAGCCAUUCCGCGUGUAUGAAGAAGGCCUUAGGGUUGUAAAGUACUUUCAGCGGGGAGGCGUUACCCGCAGAAGAAGCACCGGCUAACUCCGUGCCAGCAGCCGCGGUAAUUC